Molecule: ribosomal RNA, 253 nt
Filed under: uncultured bacterium
Lineage: Bacteria
Description: partial 16S ribosomal RNA
Rfam family: Bacterial small subunit ribosomal RNA
Source: RNAcentral
UACGUAGGGGGCAAGCGUUGUUCGGAAUUACUGGGCGUAAAGCGCACGUAGGCGGACUCUUAAGUCGGUGGUGAAAUCCUGGAGCUCAACUCCAGAACUGCCUUCGAUACUGAGAGUCUCGAGUCCGGGAGAGGUGAGUGGAACUGCGAGUGUAGAGGUGAAAUUCGUAGAUAUUCGCAAGAACACCAGUGGCGAAGGCGGCUCACUGGCCCGGUACUGACGCUGAGGUGCGAAAGCGUGGGGAGCAAACAGG